AGGUGAUAUCUCAUUGCAGUUUUGAUUUGCAUUUCUCUAAUAGUGAUGCUGAGCAGCUUUUCAUGUGCUUUUUGGCCAUCUGUCUGUCUUCUCUGGAGAAAUAUCUCUUUAGAUAUUACGACCAUUUUUUAAAAUUGGGUUGUCUGUUUUUUGGAUAUAAAGUUAUGUGAGAUGUUUGUAUACUUUGAAGAUUAAUCUACUGUUGAUUACCUCAUUUGCAAAGAUUUUCUCCCAUUCUGUGGGUGGUCUUUUCUUUUUUAAAAUAGUUUCCUUUGCUGUGAAGAAGCUUUUAAGUUUAUUUAGGUCCAUGAUCCUGGAUUAGAAAAAUCAAUAUUUUCAAAAUAACUGUAGUACCCAAGGUAAUCUACAGGUUCAAAGCAAUCCCUGUCAAAUUACCAAUGGAAUUUUUUACAGAAUUAGGACAAAAAAUUAAAGUUUUUAUGGAAACAGAAAAGACCUCAAAUUGCCAAAGAAAUCUUAAAAAAAAAAUGGAACUGGAGGAAUCAGGUUUCCAGACUUCAGACUAUACUACAAAUUUAGUGUCAUUAAAACAGUCUGGUACUGUUUUAUUGUUUGAUGCUGCUGUUUUCUUUCUUUCCUGUUCCACUGAUCUAUAUUUUUAUUUUUCUGCCCAGUGGAACAAAAUAGUCCAGAGAUAAAUUCACGCACCUAUGGUAAACUAAUCUAUGACAAAGGAGGCAAGAACACACAGUGGAAGAAAGAUAGUCUCUUCAAUAAGUGGUGCUGGGAAAACUGAACAGCUCCAUGUAAAAAAAAAUAUGUAUAUAUAAAUUAGUAUACUCUCUAACACUAUACACAAAAAUAAACUCAGAAUGGAUUAAAGACCUAAAUAUAAGGCUGUGUAUUAUUAAACUACUAUAGAAUAACCUAGGCAGAAUACACUCUGACACAAAUCAUAGAAAUAUCGUUUUGGAACCACCUUGUAGAGCAAUGAAAAUAAAAACAACAAGAAGAAAGAAUUUGUUUUAUAACCCUAAAACCCUAUUGAUCAGAGGGCUCAAUGGGAAUAUUCAGAGACAUAGACAGUAGUGAAAAACAAAAACUGAGCCUUUCAGAGGGUAGUGAAAGCUUUAACUAAAGACAGAUAAUUCUUUUUUAGGAGAAGACCAUUUAACUCAUUAAUGGAGUAUUUUAUGAAGUAAUUUGGAACCUCAUAAACAUGCAGUUAAAGCAAUGGAUGCAGAUUUAGAGAAUAUUCCAUGCAUAAUGACUUUGGAUCCUUGGGGAGGGAAUUGAAGCUAUCAUUAAAUAGGGUGUGGUUUUUCUGGCCCAUGAUGGCAGUACAUGACCAGAAAAUCAUGUUGUAUAGGAAUUAUUUAGUGCAAAAUACUGCCUACCAUAGUGUUCUUUCCAUAUAUGAUGUAAGUGUGCAUGUAAAAGUCUGGAAUCAAUAUGUUUUAAUUUUUCUUCAUUAAACUAGAUAUUCUGAUGCAGGAUAAUUUACUAGUGUUAAAAAUAUUAAAUCAUUUCCUUCUCUGUAUGCCUGACAUCCUCCAGAGUAGGUUGGUUGUUUUAGAAAAAGUACGCUUUUUAAAUAAUCUGGCCCAGGAGGAUAUGUUGACUGUUGUUUGCCACAGGAAACAUUUAGAGAUGUUUUGAAUGACCCCCAGUCACACUCAAGGGAUCCUGCAAAACAAAAGAAUCAUAAAACUUUGUUAAACAUGUAAGGAAUUCUUUUCUUAAAAAGCAAACAAACAAAAAAGACAGUGAAAUUAUUAGUUUGCUUAGUCAAGCACUUCUUUGAGUCUCUGGACUCUAUUAUACUCUUGAACAUUAUUCAGGACUACAAAGAGAUUUGUUUGUGUGAGUUAUGCUUAUUUAUAUAUUAAAGUGGAUAAUUUAAAAAUAUCUUUAAUAUUUAAGUAAAUAACAUAUAUGUUAGCAGAUGUUUUUAUAAAAUAUAACUAUUUUAAAAAGUAGAAAGUGAUAUUUUGCAUUUUUUCCUACUUUUUUAAUGUUUGGCUUAAGAAAUGAUAGUUGGGGGGUCUCAAAAUUUACUGUUGCAUUCAUUCUGCUGCAUACUACAUUAUGUAGACUCUAAAAAAAUGCCACUGUGAAAGCAUGGAAGUAGAAAAGCAAAUAACCUCUUAGUAUUUUUAUUUAAAAAUUAUUUUGAUUUUGGACCCCACGAAGAGUUCUCUGAGAGUCUCAGAGGUCCCCAGCUAGAAGAGAAUUUUAGUUGUUGAUUGUUCUCCCUUUGACAUAAACAUCAAGGGUAUAGAUGUGAAAUUCUCAUUGUUGCCUACCCUAAGGAACAACAGGCAAACAGAUUAUAAGCAGGCAAUUCUUCCUGCACAGUAGGAAAUGCAGUGUUCAGAAGUGGUGCCAAGAGCUACCCAGUUCUGGGGAUUGCUCACCACCCUUUCAUUGGUCUAAAUUAGGAGACACCCAUGUUGAGUGAUGGUCAAGUUAGUUGGGUUUUUUGAUAAUUACACUAAACAGUUAAUACUGAUUAUCAGCUUUAAUAUAUGGAAAGUCAGAAAUAUGAUUGUUUAUAAGAUUCCUAUUUUUUCUCCUAUUGAAGUGAAAAACAGACACUGGUUGUUUUAUCAGAUAAGGCUUAAAACUUGAGCUCUUACUGAUAUAUUUGAUACUGCCUCCCUUCUUUGGAUGCCCUGAUUUUGAUACUCUGAUAAUUGAGUUUGCACAAACACAAAUCACUCUUCAAAUGCUUCAAAAAAUAAUUUAUGUUGGAAAUAUGUUCUUGUAAUCUCAUUUCUUUUAUUAUGUUGUGCUAUCAGAUGGUAUUAUGGUUGAUUAUGUCUCUGAGUUCUCUGCAUCUCUGUUAGAUUGUAAAAUCUGAGAGGGCAGGAACCUAGCGCAUAGGCCUCUUAAGACAGUGCUCAGAGGCUAGCCACACUGUUUUUGACUUGCGGGCUCAUCACUCAUUUUGAUUUUCCUGGCCCUCUUCCUACCUACAUAAAUAUUCAGUUCAGAAUAUCUUGAUCACCCCUUCCGCACAUGAAUCUGGGAUCAUUUGAAAAUUAUGGAGGACCUAAUGAGUAGUGAUUUGGGAUGUUUCAAGUUGUAAAGCUCUAACUUUUAGCUUCAUCCACUUGGGCAAGUCACUUUGCAUCAUCUGGAUCUAAUUCCUUCACCUUACUUGGAUCUAAAUCCAGCUAGAAAAUGGUAUCAUCUCUUCUCUUUUAAAUUAUAUUUAUCAUUCCACAUAAUAAUUUCUACCUUUAUCACGUUUGCUAUUUUAUAGGACAAAAAUCUUCAGACCUAAAUAAUGGUUUCUGAUUAAUCCACAGACAUUUAUAUUUACAGUUUAUUUUCAUAAUUUACAUAGUGUUAUUGCAUCUAUUGAUAAUGAAGAUGCAUCACAUCACAACAAUAUGUUUUGUUUUCAAAGGCCAGUACCAGAAAUAGAAGCAAUCUGAGGCACAAGGUAACACGUAUCAGUACUUUAGCAAGACGUAAAAAUAUUAAAGAAUCACAUCAUUUUAAAAAAGAUCUCUGUCUAGAAGAAAAGAGGGCACACUACCUACAGCUUGACCAGGCAAAACAGAAACAUGUGAAAGUCAUGUGGGGAUCAGCAUGAAAUACCUGUGUGAGGUAGACAGGGUAGGGAACAUCCUGGCAUUUGAAGAGGUAAUGACAGGUCUUUGAGCAACUGUGACAGCCAGGAUGAUCUUUCAGGAGAGCCAAGCUCACCUAAUUCCUGGUAUGGUCUUUUGGCUGGAAAAUACCUUGGAAUAACCCUUUUUAAUACCUUCCUAGGGCUGACAGGAAUGCUUAAAAGUGUUCUAUCAGGCUUUCCACUCAGGGAUGAAACAUUUGAAGUGCACUGUCUGAUUUGGGUAAUACAUUGGCAGCAACUAUUUUAUUUAAAAGAAAAAUCCAUCAAUUAACAAGUGAACAUGACAGAGAGAGUGACAGCCUUUCUCUGUGUUCAAAAGAGAUAGCUAAAGAAAAGGGAACACUGGGUAUCUGAAGAGGAAAAAUCACCCCUGGGGAAGAAAAAAAGAGCCCCCUGAGAAUGCAAAAGGCUCACAAAUAGAUCUGUCAGAUUCCUUUAGACUUUGAUGAAAGGCACAGUGCUUGAUAUAAGGAAGACCCUGGGCCAAAACAAUUCUUCACCUUGGAUGAAUUAUAAACCCAACUAAAGAGAGAGAUUACCACAAAAGGAAAAAUAAACCAAGAUUUGGAGAAAAUCAGGGUGAUGAAGAAUAAUUUUGCCUGCUCCAUAAUUUGCUUAGGAUAAGACUUACUAUUCUCUAAAUCAGUGUUAAAACAACAAAAACUAGUCAAUGAGACAUUUUUUGUGUUGUGCCUUUGUUGGGCAUGCUGUUGAAUGCCAUUACAUCUUAGCAAGCCCAGCAUGGAUAUUCAUAUAUUUAUUUUUAGAUUUGUCCCAGAAUCUUAAUGCAAUUUAACAAACAUUUACUGUGUGCUUUCUGUGUACAGCAAUAUGUAGGUGCUAUUGGCAGUACAGUUAUAAAAGAAAAAGAACUUGUUUUAUAGUUCUGAGUCAAGUAGGGCAGCUAUAAUAUAGAGGGAAUGUGCAUAUAUUUAAAUGGGCAACACUUUUAUACCUGCAACUGUGUAUUUUUAUAAUCAGUAGAUUCAUAAACACAAUUAAUAAAAUAGAAAUAUUGCAGAUAAUUUUUGAGUCUCUCUUACAUCUUAAUAUUUCAGAAAAUAUACCAAAUAUUAAGUGUUUGCUUGACGAUUGCCUGCUUUUAAUUAAAACAAUGAAGAGUUAUCUUUUGUGGUUUGGGGAAUUGUUUUUACAUGUUUUUCUGUGAUGAAUAUAGAAAUUUUAUAAUGAAAUUGAUUUCUUGAACACCCAACCUAUGGUAGGCGACUUCCAAAACACCAUCAAUCUUUUCUCCUAGUAUUUACAUCAUUGUAUACUCCCCACACAAUUUGAGUAGUACUGGCCUGAGUGAGUGGUGGAAUAUUGAAGAAAUGAAAAAAUGUGACUUCUGAGGCAAGAUCAAAAUAGCCAUUAUAGCUUUUGCCUACUAUGUCUUAGACCACUGGGUCUAGAGAAAGCCAACUGCUAUUUUGUGAAAACCCUCAAGCAGCCCACCAGAAAGUCCACAUGGUACUAACAUAUGUCUUUUGAGGACAGCCAGCAUAAUUUGCUGGUCAUUUUUGUGAGUCAUCUUGGAAAUGGGUUCCGCAGCCCCAGUCAAGACUUUAUAUAAACAUGACUGUGGUCUAGGGUAAUAUUUUGGUUACAGAUUAUUAAAAACAGGACAACAGGCCCCAAAUGGAGUCACUAAUGUCACCAAAUCAACAAAUUAGUUUUGGCUUUCCCAGAAAUAAGAUCUUGAACCAAUCCAUCAGAAAUCAUCUGAUCUUUGGGAUGGAAAUGCUGUAAAAUGGGGUUGUGAUGAUUGUUGUACAACUAUAAAUGUAAUGAAAUCCAUUGAAUACUUAAAAAAAAUGAAAGAAAUGAUCUGAUCAGCAUUAGAUAAUUGAUCUACUUGGAAACCACUAAAGGAAAGCAGCCUUGCUAUAGCCAACCUGAUUUUUUUUUUUUUUUUGGCCUGGUAUAACUUUGUUGUGCCUGCUCCCUUCUGCUUGUAAAAUUCUUUCAUUUUAUAUAGCUCCUUGGAGCUCCUUUCUACCUGCUAGAUUGGAUGCUGCCCAAUUCAAAUUGAUUUUUUGCCCAACUAAAAUCUUAAAAUUUUAAAUACACUUCAGUUUAUUUUUUUGACAGUUCUGCUGUCAAAGGAGAGAACCAUAGACCCCUGAUGACCCUCAGGAGCCGUAAGCAUCCAUGUAUAAGUACCUCUUGAGUCCUUUGAGGUCUCUGUUUUUUGCUGCCUCUGGAGAUCAUGGGUUAAGGCUCUCUAAAAACCUAGCUUUAGCAGUAUGAGCUUUCAGACUUAAUUUGAGGAUUUCUUUGACUGGAUUGGGUCUGUAAAUCAUCUAGUCAGACUGAGUCCUGUUUAGAAACUGGACCAUGUUUGGGUUGGAUUGGGUCCAACUUGGAAACCAGAUAGGGACUGGAAAUGGACCAAGUCUAAGGUGAGACUGGGUUUGACAUAGUAAACAAACUGGAUUUAGGGUUAAACUGAAUCCAAUUUAGAAACUGGAUAGGGUCCAGCAUCGGUCUAGGUCUGACUUAAACUGGAUUGUAUCUAGUGUGAAGUCUCAGGUGAAAAAAAAUUUAUAAAGCCUGAACCAGUACGUUAACCAUACUAAAGAUAAUCUUGAAUUACAGUGGCCAUAAUGGACAACUUUUAACCUAGAUAAAUUUUUGCAUUUAUUAAGUGCCUUAGAAAAAAAGGGGGUCUCAGCCAAGCAUUCACUGUAGAGAAUAGGGGGAUAAUUUAUGUUUCCUACAGUUACUGGUGAUAGGAAUAGAGAAUACUGGGAUACCCUAUUCUCUCUAGCACCUUUAAAUGGGAUCCUGGGAAAACUAGUAAAAGCAGUCAAAGAGUGAGAAUUCCUCCCAAAGUCCGAUCUUCCAGAUUUCCCUCUAUGGUUCCUGGUCAAGAGAGGAAGGUAAAUUUUUAUUUGUCCCUUACUAACUAAAUUCAGAGUGGUCG
Molecule: long non-coding RNA, 6530 nt
Filed under: Sus scrofa (pig)
Lineage: Eukaryota; Metazoa; Chordata; Mammalia; Artiodactyla; Suidae
Description: lncRNA (ENSSSCG00000061170.1)
Source: RNAcentral